CCUACGGGUGGCAGCAGUAGGGAAUUUUCCACAAUGGGCGAAAGCCUGAUGGAGCAACGCCGCGUGGGUGAAGAAGGUCUUCGGAUCGUAAAACUCUGUUGUUAGAGAAGAAAGUGCGUGAGAGUAACUGUUCACGUUUCGACGGUAUCUAACCAGAAAGCCACGGCUAACUACGUGCCAGCAGCCGCGGUAAUACGUAGGUGGCAAGCGUUAUCCGGAUUUAUUGGGCGUAAAGGGAACGCAGGCGGGCUUUUAAGUCUGAUGUGAAAGCCUUCGGCUUAACCGGAGUAGUGCAUUGGAAACUGGGAGACUUGAGUACAGAAGAGGAGAGUGGAACUCCAUGUGUAGCGGUGAAAUGCGUAGAUAUAUGGAAGAACACCAGUGGCGAAGGCGGCUCUCUGGACGGUAACUGACGGUGAGGUUCGAAAGCGUGGGUAGCAAACAGGAUUAGAUACCCCUGUAGUC
RNAcentral lists this ribosomal RNA (465 nucleotides) under uncultured bacterium. Its description in RNAcentral is "partial 16S ribosomal RNA". It matches the Rfam family "Bacterial small subunit ribosomal RNA", at positions 338 to 795 of the family's 1533-position model. The record is from RNAcentral.